Molecule: ribosomal RNA, 253 nt
Filed under: uncultured bacterium
Lineage: Bacteria
Description: partial 16S ribosomal RNA
Rfam family: Bacterial small subunit ribosomal RNA
Source: RNAcentral
UACGUAGGGUGCGAGCGUUGAUCGGAAUUACUGGGCGUAAAGCGUGCGCAGGUGGUUCGUUGUGUCGGUGGUGAAAUCCCCGGGCUUAACCUGGGAAUGGCCAUGGAAACUGGCGAACUGGAGUGCGGCAGAGGGGGGUGGAAUUCCGCGUGUAGCAGUGAAAUGCGUAGAGAUGCGGAGGAACACCGAUGGCGAAGGCAGCCCCCUGGGCUAGCACUGACGCUGAGGAACGAAGGUCAGGGGAGCAAACGGG